CAUCCCAUAUGCUGGUCCUUUGCUGCGCUCUCUCGUGUUGGCUCGGUGGGGUUUGAAGUGACUAACGGGAAUUAGAACAUCGACUGAGCUCCGGUUUCAUCCAUCUUCUGAAGUUCAGUUUCGAAGGUUCGGGUUGGAGACGGUUGGGAAGUGUUUUUGGGGGGUUUGAAAGUCUAGUUUUAUCCGAAUAAAAAGGCAUGGAGGCUCAUGGAGUUCUCUCUCUGCUGUGCGUUGCGCUGUGUGCUGGGGCGUUCGCACAGCAGACCGACAGACCCAAGUUCUGGGGUGAGUGUAUAUAAAAUGUGUUUCUUGAUAAGAAACUGACUUAUUGUUCCCGGGUUGUCUAGUAUUGUAUGUCUAUGUAUGAUAUGUAAUUAAUAGGGAACUAAACAAGCUAUUUGGGAUGAGAAACAAGUUAGAAACCACAGAGAACGAGAGAGAGAGAGAGAGAGAGAGAGAGAGAGAGAGAUAAAAUUGGGAUGGUUUCUGGCGAGUCUCUGCGUCUUGGCCAGAUGUUGCGUUGGAAGUUAAUAACAAACAGCCUUGUAGGAGCUACAGCGAUCUUAGUAAAAUAGACAAUGCUUAAAUCAGAUAUUAGGCCGUGCCUAAGCUAGCAGAAUUACUGAGCUGGUGUGGUCGUUGGUCCUACUGUAUGUAGUUAGGCUACAGUCUAUCUAGCACAGCUGCACAUUAUGCUUAGAGUGGUAUCAUCAAAGUGUUACCCUCGCCGCAGCCUAACUUAUCACUAGGGGCAGUGAAACUGGUCAGCGUUAGGGGUAAUCAAUCACUCAAUCAAUCUGUGUAAAUGGCUGGGAUUUGAAUUUAAAUCCAACGCAGGAUGCAGAAUCAAAAUAUUUCUGAGGUUGUUGAUUGAAUUGAGGCCUUAGUCUAAACAUAUUGUAGUUGAAAUAUUACUUUUUAUUUUGUUAUUUAAAGUAGUACAAUUUAGUACAAUUUAGUACAACAGUUUUGUACUUAACAUUUUUAUUUUUAUCCUUUUAGUCUGGUUUUAUUACCAGCUUCAUUAUAUUGUAG
RNAcentral lists this long non-coding RNA (1035 nucleotides) under Salmo salar (Atlantic salmon). Its description in RNAcentral is "lncRNA (ENSSSAG00000117495.1)". Lineage: Eukaryota; Metazoa; Chordata; Actinopteri; Salmoniformes; Salmonidae. The record is from RNAcentral.